UCACCGACUUGAUGGACAUGGGUUUGGGUAAACUCUGCGAGUUGUUGAUGGACAGGGAGGCCUGGCGUGCUGCGAUUCAUGGGGUCACAUAGAGUCGGACACAACUGAGCAACUGAACUGAACAUGCAUCGAGGUGAGAAUGGGGCCUGAGUCCCUUCCCAUUCUGUUUCUUUGUCCCCUCUCCUGUGGUCCAGAUGAAACAAUAAAGAAGUCCAACAAGAGAAAGUGAAAUCACUCCUUUUGUUAAAGACUUGGUAGCAGCCCAAGUACUCAAGCCAUUUCCCAGCAUAACAUUGCAGCCUGCCUGACACAGCCACCCAGUACUCCAGUUGGCUCCUAGGCUCUUCUUGAAACUGAAUGCCUGACCCCUGGAGGCCUUGGGAGUCACUGAUGUCACUGAUGUGACAUCUCCACUUUGGGGUGGGUUGCCUAGUAACCAACAUGGACCCAACAGGCCUUGCAAGUCAAACAAACGGUAAGUUAGAGAGCAUAGCCAACCUGACUGCUGCAACAAGUAUUUUGACUACGUGAAAAAUCAGUAGCUAUCUUUGGGGGAUAUUUUGUAUAUAUCUUCAUUUACUAAAGAAAAACCACUGGCUUCCUCAGGGGUCUCAGUCCACAAAAUGCCUGGGUUUGGUUCAGUUGUUUAUUAGCAACUUUAGGAAAGCCCAGCAAUAUUUUCCUAUAGCUGUAAAUAAUUCUGAAAUUGUGAAGUAUUCUAAAAAUAUGGCAAGGCAAAGGAACUGAAACAGCUAAAACUAUUUUGAAAAGGAAAAAGUGGGAAAAGUCAUUCUACCCAUUUGCAAAACUACAGUAAUCAAAACUGAUACUGACGGAGGGAUAGACACACACAUUGAUAGAAUGGAGAAUCAAAAAUAGCCUCCUUCCCAUAUCAUCAACUGAUUUUGACAAAUGUACAACGAUGCUACAACAGAGGAGGGACGGUGCUGGUAAAUAAGGCAGGCAAAAAUAUGAACCACUGAAUCACACACUAUACAAAACUUGAACUAGAUCAUAGAUAAUAUAAAACUUUUGAAAAAAAACCAGAAAAAAUAACAAUAUCUUUACAUUCUAGGUUAAGCAAAGGAUCUUACACUUGGUACCAAAAGCAUGAUCCAUAAAAGGAAAAAUUUAUAAGUUGGACCUAAUCAAAAUGUAAAGCUUUGUUCUGCAAAAGACCUUAUGAAGAAGAUGAAAAAGUCGAGCUAUAGACUGCGAGAAAAUGUUUGCGAACCACAUAUCUAGAAUAUAUAAAGAACUCUCUAAACAGUAAAAAGAUAGACAAUCCAAUAUAAAAUGGAAAAAAGACAUUUCACCAAAGAAGACGUAUGUAUGGCUAACAAAUAAGCACCUGAAAAAAAUGUUAACAUCCCUACUGAGUAGGAAAUGCGUGUUUAAACCAUAGUGAGACACGCUACUGGAGAAGGAAAUGGCAACCCACUCCAGUAUUCUUGCUUGGAGAACUCCAUGGACAGAGGAGCCUGGCGAGCUAUAGUCUAUGAGGUCUCAGAGUCAAACACGACUGCGGGAUUAACACAAGGCACACUACACACGUAUCAGGAUGGCUCAAGUGGUUAGUAGUAUCAACACCAAGUGCUGCCAAGGAUGCAGCUGGAUCACUCAUACACUGCCUGUGGGGAUGUAAGACAGUACAGCCUCCCUGGGAAAUAGCUGAAUAGUUUUGCUAAAAACCAACUACACUAACCAUAUGACCAAGCAUCAACUGUUGGACACUGAUGACAGAGAAGUGAAAAUUUAGGUCCACAAAACCUGUACACAAUUGUUCAUAGCAGACUGAAGUCCACCAGAAUGUCUUGUAUUAAUGGCAUGCUUUACUGCAGUAAAUGGAAUAUUUAAAGGAUGAACUAGUGACACAGCUUGUAACAACUGGAAUGGAUCUCAGGGGCGUUCUGAGUUAAAAUCAUCUCAAAAUGUCGCACACUGUAUGGCUUCAUCCAUUUAACAUUUUUAAACGACAGGUGGUUACCACGAGUCAGGGAUGUUGGAGGGCAAGGGAGGUGUGUGUGUCUAUCUAAAGGGAUAGAAAGAGGACCUCUGUGGUGAUGGUGCAGUCUGCAUCUUGGUUACCAUAGGGGCUACAUGAGUGUACGUGUGAUAAAGUGACAGCUAUACAUAGAUAACACCCAGUGUCGGUUCGCUGGUUUUGAUAUUGUACAUUAUGUAAGAGAGAACCACUAGGGGGCAAGAGUACACUCUCUGAAGUACCUUUGCAACUUCCUGUAAAUCUAUAAUUAUUUCAAAAUAAAAUUUUAAAAAUCUAAAAGGUAACAGGCUAAACUUGGCAUGUGUUGUCCAUUUGCUGACCCCUGCUUUAGCGCAACAAUCAGAUAAACGUUUCCUUAGUGCAUUAUGAGUUAUCAGAGUCCUACAACUUGCAAACCAUUGAUGAUUUUACAUUUUCAGCAGUUCAUUCGUUUCAAGGACUUUGAUUAAGCAAAAGAUACCAGAACUGCCAACAUUUGUGUCAAACGCAUGGCAUGGCAUUUGGGCCAUUGAUAUUCUUUAAGUGACAUACCAGUGUUAGAAGUGCCAUGGCUAACAGCAUACUAGCCUUUAACAUGAGUAGUUUCACCAGGGUUCAUUUGUGUAUGAUAGAUUUGCUCAGCAAACCAUGCCUAAAGCUAAAUGAGGGAAUACCCAUUUGGGAUAACACAAAGAACAAAAGUUAAAAGUAAAUUAUAGGCCCAGCAUUUGUGGGCAUUAUGAAAGUAUAACCUAAAUUUUUCUAUGGAUUCUUUUUCUUUAAGCUUCCAUUGCCACAUUCCGGACACCUUGGGUUGAUUUACAGAUGUGCUACCCAUCACGGGCAAAUCAUGGACUGUCUUCUCAAAAGAUGAAUUUCUAUCAUUGAGAGCAAAGUAAUUACUCAUUUCAUAGGCUGACCCUAAAAGAGGUUACAUCAAUCUUCAGGACUUUGCUGGUAAUAAGAGCACAAACACUAUAAAGAAAUUCUACCGCAGGAGUGGAGAUAUGGCUAAUUUGGAGCAGGUCAUCAAAUUCAGCACACCAAGAGAAUAAAGUACCAGGUCACCGAGGCUGGUUCUUGGGCCGGAAGCAUCGGCAGUGCCUGGGAAGUGAACGUUACUGAGCCCCAGCCCAGACCUUGUCUUCACAAUUCCAGGCGUGGCGUUCAGCAGUCUACGUUUCACAAGCUCUCCAGGUGACCCUGAUGUCUGCCAAGAAAAUGCAUCUAGAGCUGAGCUUUCAAUAUACAUGUCUAAUAAACACUGGAAAUAGAGCUACUUCAAACUGAGAUGGCUGCAAGUAGAAAGUACACACUGGAUUUGAAUUUUAGUUUGGAAAAAAAAAGAAUGUAAAAUGACUACUUUUGUUAUAUUGAUUAAAUGUUGAAAUAAUAACCCUUCAUAUAUAUUGGGUUAAAUGAAAUAUAUCAUUCAAAUUAAUUUUACCUGUUUCCUUUUACUUAAAAUUUUUUCUGAUGCGGACCAUCUUUGUAAGUCUUUAUUGAAUUUUGUUACAGUAUUGCUUCUGCUUUAUGUUUUCUCUUUUGUAUGCGAGGUGUGUGAGAUCCCAGGUCCCUGACCAGAGAUGGAACCCACACCCCCUGCACGGGAAGGCGAAGUCUUAACCACUGGGCCUCCAGGGAAGCCCCUCUUAUGUUUUUAGCAAGGUCACUAGGAAAGCCAGAAGGCAGAAGACGAGUGCUUGGUGGAGGUGAGGCCCACAGAAAGCAGCCAGCCAGGGGGAGGAGGAAGCAGGGUGGGUCAGGACGGGCAGAGGAAGAUAAUCACACACUGCCUAUGACAGAAAGCUGCUUCAAAAAUACGUACUUUUGUUUGAAGAGCAAAUAAACUGAGUGAUAGCGUCACCAGAGCAGUCGCUCCUGUUGCCCAUAACACUUCCUCGACGUGAUAGAAGCUAAAACCAGAGACUGUGAUUAUCAUUCACGUAACAUUACAAGAAAAGCACGCACACACAAAUGAAAAGAUGUGUAUCAAAGACUUACACUGACACGGUUCCUAGCAGCAAACCUUGAAGAACUGUCUAAAAAACAAAAUUCACAAUAAAUCAGAAGCCUGCUUCCCAAGGCGCCAAAUCCAGAAGAGCCGCUUUGAGGUAUGUGUGUUCUGCCAGGUUAGAGGGAACUAGCAGGAAUAUUCAUGAUCUUAGCGCACAAAGCUAUAGGCUAUGCCACAUGGAAAUAAUGGAAAUAAACAUUUUCUUAAUGUUCUCCCUAAGACUGACAAGAAAAAAUUCUCAUAUGAGUAAAAAGUUCUUAGAAUACAAUAGUAACUUUCAACAUAUUCAGUGAGUUAAACUGAAGGUGAAGGUGAAGUCACUCAGUCGCGUCCGACUCUUUGCAACCCCGUGGACUGUAGCCUACCAGGCUCCUCCCUCCAUGGGAUUCUCCAGGCAAGAGUACUGGAGUGGG
Bubalus bubalis (water buffalo) is the source of this 4414-nucleotide long non-coding RNA. RefSeq lists it as uncharacterized. The transcript has 3 exons. The record is from RefSeq and is a predicted model, not a curated record. NCBI's taxonomy places the organism in Eukaryota, Metazoa, Chordata, Mammalia, Artiodactyla, Bovidae.